GUGCCUUAAACUAAUGAGUAAGGAAAAUAUAAAGCUUUGGUAACGCUUAGCUAUGCUAAAUUA
This 63-nucleotide small nuclear RNA is filed under the name Cyphomyrmex costatus. Its description in RNAcentral is "U12 minor spliceosomal RNA". It matches the Rfam family "U12 minor spliceosomal RNA", at positions 1 to 63 of the family's 151-position model. From Rfam's summary of the family: Although the U12 sequence is very divergent from that of U2, the two are functionally analogous. The record is from Rfam by way of RNAcentral. Lineage: Eukaryota; Metazoa; Arthropoda; Insecta; Hymenoptera; Formicidae.